GAUGAAGAACGCAGCGAAAUGCGAUAAGUAGUGUGAAUUGCAGAAUUCAGUGAAUCAUCGAAUCUUUGAACGCACAUUGCGCCCCUUGGUAUUCCAUGGGGCAUGCCUGUUCGAGCGUCAUUUGUACCUUCAAGCCUUGCUUGGUGUUGGGUGUUUGUCUCGCCUCUGCGCGCAGACUCGCCUCAAAACAAUUGGCAGCCGGCGUAUUGAUUUCGGAGCGCAGUACAUCUCGCGCUUUGCACUCAGAACGACGACGUCCAAAAGUACAUUUUUACACUCUUGACCUCGGAUCAGGUAGGGAUACCCGCUGAACUUAAGCAUAUCAAAAGCGGAGGA
Molecule: unclassified non-coding RNA, 336 nt
Filed under: soil metagenome
Description: partial contains 5.8S ribosomal RNA, internal transcribed spacer 2, and large subunit ribosomal RNA
Rfam family: 5.8S ribosomal RNA (bases 1-120)
Source: RNAcentral